Molecule: ribosomal RNA, 254 nt
Filed under: uncultured bacterium
Lineage: Bacteria
Description: partial 16S ribosomal RNA
Rfam family: Bacterial small subunit ribosomal RNA
Source: RNAcentral
GACGAACCGUACGAACGUUAUUCGGAAUCACCGGGCUUAAAGGGUGCGUAGGCUGCGCGGAAAGUUGGGUGUGAAAUCCCUCGGCUCAACCGAGGAACUGCGCCCAAAACUGCCGUGCUCGAGGGAGACAGAGGUGAGCGGAACUUAGGGUGGAGCGGUGAAAUGCGUUGAUAUCCUAAGGAACACCGGUGGCGAAAGCGGCUCACUGGGUCUCUUCUGACGCUGAGGCACGAAAGCUAGGGUAGCGAACGGGG